GGGGGCUAGCGUUGUUCGGAAUUACUGGGCGUAAAGCGCACGUAGGCGGUCCAGUUAGUUGGGGGUGAAAUCCCGGGGCUCAACCCCGGAACUGCCUCCAAAACUGCUGGUCUGGAGGUCGAGAGAGGUGAGUGGAAUUUCGAGUGUAGAGGUGAAAUUCGUAGAUAUUCGGAGGAACACCAGUGGCGAAGGCGGCGCACUGGCUCGAUACUGACGCUGAGGUGCGAAAGUGUGGGGAGCGAACAGG
This 247-nucleotide ribosomal RNA is filed under the name uncultured bacterium. RNAcentral's name for it is "partial 16S ribosomal RNA". It matches the Rfam family "Bacterial small subunit ribosomal RNA", at positions 530 to 776 of the family's 1533-position model. The record is from RNAcentral.